Molecule: long non-coding RNA, 4250 nt
Filed under: Daphnia magna
Lineage: Eukaryota; Metazoa; Arthropoda; Branchiopoda; Diplostraca; Daphniidae
Description: uncharacterized LOC116917360, transcript variant X2
Source: RNAcentral
AAGAAAUGUUCACAUUAAAUAUUGCAAUUUUUUUUUUUCCUUUUGAACUAUUUUGCUAAUUGUUUAAGAUUGCUAAUUAUUAUGCUGAAUUGACAGAACACGCCGGAAUCCAUGAAUGAAUCCAGUGUGUCUUGCAUAUCACCAGUGAUUUUGAAUUGAUUGAUGGUUAACUGAAGGAUACUUGCAUCAGACACUUAUAACAAUGAACGUAGGAGAUAAGUUAAAUGGCUUACCAUCAUUUUGAUUUAAAUAAACGUUUUGUUCUGAAUCACUCCCUAUCAGAGACUAUAGAGGCGUUCAACGUCUUUUUGGUUGAUAAAACUCGAAUGUUUGAAAACGAGAAUCACUCGCCCUUUAUAUACCCUGUGGAAAAAAAAAUAACGCCAAAGAGGAGGGACAGGGGGUGGAGAUUUUGGAGAAAGAAUGAGACCCGCACUCGCCAUAGCCGAGCCGGAACCUAGGUGAAUGAGAGAAAUAGAGAAAGAAGGGUGGUGCAAGGAUGGGCCACCUCGUCUACGGCCACCUGGCCGCCCCAUAAAAAAAUUUGUAUAUUAGGUAACUCGGCAAGAGGUAGAGACGAAAUCGAGGGCCCCCAUCCUUGGGUUCUUGUACAGGAGAAAGAGGGAGGAGGGAUUGACGUCGUAGCAUAUAGCGACGUAAGCUAUUCGCUUACAGGUGUACAGCUGGUGUUGCCGUAUGGAUAUCGGUGAGAGUGGAUUUCUCCCCGUCUUUUCUCUUUCCUCUCUGAGAUUGUAGACGCGAAGGGUCAGCGCAUUCCAGCCGACUCUAUAAGCCAAAGCCAUUAUGAGUCCUAGAGAUCACUUUGGUCUGUUGCCAGUAGUUUCCAGCCAUAACAAAUAGCCUAAACAUGCGCCACAGCCAAGUCUUCUUCUUUAACAUAACUGCCGAAGGUGAAAGGAAUUCAAUCCAAACUAAACCGAUGUCUAUGUUGUCCAGUCACGAAAUUAAUAGCAAGACAUCAACAGCAGCAGCAAAAUAUAAUCAACUUUCUCUCUCUAUAGAUCGUUCGUAUUGUCUUUUUUCAAAUGUUUCCCUGUUCGCUUCGUAACGCACAAUCUCGCCUUAUCUACUGUAGUCUACAACUAUCAACAAAAUAAAAAUCCAUUCAUUUAUGUUUUGCUAUACCCCACCCGUUAACCGUAUAUAGGUGAGUUUCUUUCACUGGCGUCUGAGUAAUCGCAAGGACUAGGGCGGAUGAAGGCGUGCUGACGUACGGACUUCAGUGUUGACCUCAAUCGGGCGUCUUGCGCGUUCGAUUUCUUCACCGAGUUCCGCUUGUGCCAUUCUGUAUUGUACCAACGGUUAACUCGAUUAAGAAGAAUCCAUUUUUGCAUACGACAGCCGGUUUAUCGUCGUUCGUUCACCAGAGAUUUCUAUCCAUUUUUGAAAAUGUUCCUUUAUUUUUGGGGCUCUUCUACGUUCUUGUCAACGGUUAUGUGGCUAGUGGGCCGUGAUGGACGAUGGCGGGUCACGGGACGUGGCCUGGUCGCGGAUUUAAACAUAUAUCCUAGAACUAAAACAACCGCAGAGUUUUUAUGACCGUGUCGAGUGGACAUGGAUCAUGGAUCACGGCCGCCGAUGAACUUUCCCCUAGCCUCAUUGAAAUGCUAAGCUUGUGCGCCAAAUUUUUAUGUGUUUUUACUUAUCUCUUCUUUUUUUUUUCAGAUAAAAAACCGAAUUUUCUUCGAAUGGGAGGAAAGGGGGAAGAGAGAAAUUGUGUUACUAGCUCCCGACACGACCUUCACUACCAUGUCCGCAUCGACACUAUCGCGGGUUCGGGAGAGAGUUGAAGGAUGUGAGACGAAGUCGAAGGUUGACGGAAGUGCGCAUUGUUUUUGACGCGGAUACCUGUGGUCUCCGAGGAACGAGCACUCUGUUCAGUUAGCUAAUAGCCACUAUUACAACAACCAACUUCUGCAACCUGAAGAACCUGCGCGUUGGUCAGAUACUUCGAAGAGUGGGGCACAUUGAUUGAUUGAAAAACGGAAGAGACUGACCAAACUGGAUUUUAUGGCGAAUUCGUGGCCGAAUUUCGUUGCCCAGCGAUGCAAACCACUGGACGUUUUUUCCCGUUGUUUUUGUGUGUUUUUUUGUUGUCUUGCCUACACCGACCAAAUUGUUUUUAUCUGUUCGGUUUAAGGAAUGCAUUCCAAAUCGUUUGCGUCUUAAGUUCUUCUUCCAAUUUAUUUUAUUUUUUUCCUCUUUUGAAUUGCCUUCGGUAUAAUAAGGGCUAAACAAGGUCAAGCCCUCUGAGGGAAAGAGUCUCGAAUCCGGUUCAUACGCCCUUGUGAGUCCAUAUCUUUUAGCCGAUUUGACUCAUCUUUGAUCUCUCCCGUCAACUAACUGGUCGGUUGAAGAAAAGCGGAACACGUUUUUUUUUUUUUCUUUUCUCGUCUUCCUGUUGCUGCAAGUAACCUUGAACUACGGCUGUCGCCUUUCGUUUGAUGCAACACGAGAAGAAGAUUGGAAGGCUAGACUGUUCACCAGAAGGUAGAAGAGAAAACUUUCACCUGUUCUCGAAUCUCUCGCAAGGAAUUUUUGUUUAAGGUCGCAGUGGAUUUAUUUCAAAACCAAGAUUUUUUUUUCCCUUCCAGGCGAAAAAUGAUAAUAAAAAUUCUUCCUUUUUUUUUUUCUUUCCUCCCUAAAAUCCUCUCGACAGGUCCUCUGCCCAUCAUAAUGACCCAUUCGUCAAACUGAUAUGGAAUCAAUUAUAGCUGAUGGUGAUGCGUUUUGCUGGAAUUUCCGUUGCUAGCCUAACUAAGAGGAUGUGCUUUUUAACAACCUUAUUUGAGUCCGUUGCAGAUUAUGAAAGCCUGUUGUAUGCGUAUAAAAAUAUAGUCUAGAUCUUCCUUGAUGGCUUCUCUUAUAUUCGAUUUGUUUUUCCUUAUAGCUCACCUGUUUGAUUUAUGUAAAAGAGAAAAAGCAAAAGGAGACCAAUGUUUUGAAUGAACGUUCUCGUACACGCCAUGAUGGAUGAUCUCACACCCAGCAGGUUGUUCAACUUUUUCCGAUUUCGUUACACAGUUUAAAGAAAAUCAUUGCAAGACAACAUUCAGAUGACGUGUUGUUUUUUAUUUAUUUAUUUUUGGGGAAAAAUCUAUUUCUCCCCCUAUUCAAACGAUUGCGUUAGAUUAUGCAGGCGGCCCCGUGGGCCUUUCAAAUAUAGGAGUUUGACCCACUUGUCCGUCUACUGGGGCCCGUCUCACACACAGGCCUUAAAGCUUUUUCAUGAUGUCUGCGUAUCUACGUGCGUCUAUGAAAUUCCUGUCGGUUCUUUUUAUUCGGUUUCUUCUACGUAUUAUUUUUUUUUUAAAAUAAAACAUAAAAAUGGCCUGUUAUUUUGUUUUCCUCUUCUUUUCCCUUUAACCUGUCGCCCCACGCUCAACAGGUGCACUAAGGUGGCACUAUAGCCUAAAGCCGGACUUUGGAAAACGGUCGAGUCUCUUUUCUCUUUCUCUGCUACGAUCUGGCACGGAUAUUUCGCAUGACGAGAGGAGAUAUUGUCGGUCUGUUUGAUCCCUUCCUUCAUUUUCGGGUGGCAUUGUGGAUGCGUGCGCGUACCGUCUAGACGAUCUCACUCGUCUAGCUGCAUCCAGAUUGAACGCGUUCGGUUCCAUUUCGGGUUGUUAGUUCGUGAUACCUGUGCUUUUUGCUUUCCUAUCCGGCAAACGGCACAGAAGGAUAUGCACGCAAGGAAAACCAUUGAAUGUAAUGACUUAAGGAGGCCAGCAGGGUAUCCUGUCACUUUCAUUCGAAGCACUGUUUAAUAAACAGUUACGGCCUUAUUUGACGGUCUUUUGAUUUGAUUAUUAGUGCCGGGGUUUUUUGGUGACAUGUCGAAAUGUUUGCCGAAACGCGUGGAAUGACGACUGAAAUGGCAGGAAAGAAAACGGUCGUAUUGUUUGUUAACAACGUGCGUGAGCGCGACCGACAGGUUCCGCUUUCUUCCUUUUAUCUUUAUACGACCCCUAUGGUUGUGUAUUUUAGUAAGGUACUUUUUAAUCCGUGCUGUGGGUGCGACGGGAUUGUGUAGGUGCAUCGGAUGACCCCAACAAAGCUGACGAAAAGAGCUUUCGCUUUCCAGAACCGUCUCGAUCGACUUGGCAUCACGCGGACAUUAACGGUAGAAAACGUGUAUGGGAAAAAGCUAUACAAACAACAGUUGCGAUUUAUUUCUGUCCAAGACGAAGAAAUAAAUGUCCACCCAAACUGGGAUUUUCAAAAUUUUA